AGUUCACAAAUGGUAGGCCUGAU
RNAcentral lists this non-coding RNA (23 nucleotides) under Rattus norvegicus (Norway rat). Lineage: Eukaryota; Metazoa; Chordata; Mammalia; Rodentia; Muridae. The record is from RNAcentral.